CUGCAUUUUCCAUGACAAUGCGUGACCAAUUUGUAAUAGUGUAAAUUGCAAGCAUAAUAGCUCCAAUCGGGUCGAUCCAGCAGUAAUAUUUAUCACCAAGUACAGCUGCAACUAAUCCAACCACGUUUGUUAUAACAUCAAAUUGAUGAUCCUGAAAGUUGGCAUUUCUGAGAUGGUUCAGUUGUAUUUUAACUUCAUUCAUAAAGAAACAUCAGAAGAGAACCACCAUACAUCUGCAUAGGCACGAACAAUCUUGUUUGCCGAGUUUCUACAGUACUGCCAGAGCACAAGCUUCACUGCUGUUGCAAAUAGCAUAAUAGAGCACAACCAUAUUUGCUUCGGGCUUCGAUACAACAAAAGCUAAAGAUGACCAACUUGUUUUGGAAAUGGCCAGUGCAACUAAAGCUGAAAUUAAAUCUGAUCAUCUUGCACUUGAAGGGAGAAGGCCAUGAGCUGAAGCUUAUGCCAAAUGACCAGUAAAAGGUUGAACCAAGUUGCGGUGACCUUGUUUCAAGUUAAGGACUUCAAGGAACAAUUUGUAGAGUUGGAGCAACCUAUCACAACCAGUAAAUGAAGACAGACACACUUGCUAGACUUGUUACUUGCUGCACUAGAUCAACCAACUGGACUGGACAGAGGAAUUUACAUUGAAGUUUACCUAUUGUAGGAAGUCUUUUACUCUAACAUGCGAACAACAAUCUCGCUCAGGUCACAAGCCACAAAUGUAAGGUCGCCGAAGGUUAGGUUUUCGUUUCCAAACAGGGAAAGACGAGAAUUGACGAAAUCAAGAGUUCCGCACUUUGUUUGAAGAUGAACAAACAGAUGAACAAACGGCGCGGAGAAGGGGAAGGAGUAGGGUUUUCUUGGUGACAGAUAAACGAAAAUGAACGAAGGCAGGAGAUAAAAAUGAAUGAAGGCGCGAGGAAGGGGUAGGGUUUUCUUGUUGACAGAGAAGAUGGACGAAGGCACAAGAGGAAAUGAACGAAGGCACGAGGAGUAGGGUUUGAGAAAUUAUUUAGUAAUUACGGACGAUUUCUUUAAACAACAGUUGAAAAAUUAGAAUUAAAAAUAAAUGUGAGGGACGGUUUUUAUUAUAAACAGCAAAAAUAUUUUAAAAAAUUAAAAAAUAGAAGAUUAGUUGCGGCUUUAGUUAUAAACCGCUCCAAAUUAUUUGGGGUUUUCAAACCCCAAAAAAU
This 1196-nucleotide small RNA is filed under the name Vigna angularis var. angularis. Its description in RNAcentral is "Non-protein coding transcript". Lineage: Eukaryota; Viridiplantae; Streptophyta; Magnoliopsida; Fabales; Fabaceae. The record is from RNAcentral.